Oreochromis niloticus (Nile tilapia) is the source of this 487-nucleotide long non-coding RNA. RefSeq lists it as uncharacterized. The record is from RefSeq and is a predicted model, not a curated record. The transcript is spliced from 2 exons. Lineage: Eukaryota; Metazoa; Chordata; Actinopteri; Cichliformes; Cichlidae.
CCAGUCCUGAAAAUUGCUAAAACUUUGAAUGUGUCCCUGAGUGCAGUCACAAAAACCAUCAAGCGCUACGUUAAAACUGUCUCACAUGUCUCAAUGAACCUGGCACACCUGUUACCCUUCAGACGCUUUCUUCUGAAGCGUUCUUUAGGAGCUGCCCGACAGAUGACUAGUGUUGGAGUAUUGACUUUUCUGGAGUGCCUGUAAAUCUGCCAGCCUGCCUACUGGAGCCUGUGGAUUAUUUUCGCUGGUGACUGUACAUAGUUUUGUUUCCUCCCCAGGAUUUUUGUCUCUCUGUUUCUCCGGGUCGCCUUGUUUGGUUUGUUUCCCUUCCGGAGGUUUUUGGCAAGCAGUACCAAAUCGAGUGCGCUACCAGUGUGCGUCUUCCCAUCUGUACAUCCCGGCACCACAUUCCCAUUCACAUUUUAUUGUAUAUACACUGUCCCUGAAAAUUCAUCCCCUUCACUGUAAAUAAAUUGUUUCACCGCAA